This 107-nucleotide small nuclear RNA is filed under the name Neogale vison (American mink). Lineage: Eukaryota; Metazoa; Chordata; Mammalia; Carnivora; Mustelidae. The record is from RNAcentral.
GUGCUUGCUUGGGCAGCACGUAUACUAAAAUUGGAACGAUACAGAGAAGAUUAGCAUGGUGCCUGCACAAGGAUGACACUCAAAUUAGUGAAGCAUUCCAUAUUUUU